Molecule: ribosomal RNA, 523 nt
Filed under: Salvelinus fontinalis (brook trout)
Lineage: Eukaryota; Metazoa; Chordata; Actinopteri; Salmoniformes; Salmonidae
Description: partial large subunit ribosomal RNA
Rfam family: Bacterial large subunit ribosomal RNA
Source: RNAcentral
GCCUGCCCUGUGACUAUGGGUUUAACGGCCGCGGUAUUUUGACCGUGCGAAGGUAGCGCAAUCACUUGUCUUUUAAAUGAAGACCUGUAUGAAUGGCAUCACGAGGGCUUAGCUGUCUCCUCUCCCAAGUCAAUGAAAUUGAUCUGUCCGUGCAGAAGCGGGCAUAAGUACAUAAGACGAGAAGACCCUAUGGAGCUUUAGACACCAGGCAGAUCACGUCAAGUAACCUUAAAUUAAUAAGUGGAAACGCAGUGACCCCUAGCCCAUAUGUCUUUGGUUGGGGCGACCGCGGGGGAAAAUAAAGCCCCCAUGUGGACUGGGGGCACUGCCCCCACAGCCGAGAGCUACAGCUCUAAGCACCAGAAUUUCUGACCAAAAAUGAUCCGGCGAACGCCGAUCAACGGACCGAGUUACCCUAGGGAUAACAGCGCAAUCCUCUCCCAGAGUCCAUAUCGACGAGGGGGUUUACGACCUCGAUGUUGGAUCAGGACAUCCUAAUGGUGCAGCCGCUAUUAAGGGUUCG